Molecule: ribosomal RNA, 301 nt
Filed under: uncultured bacterium
Lineage: Bacteria
Description: partial 16S ribosomal RNA
Rfam family: Bacterial small subunit ribosomal RNA
Source: RNAcentral
CAGUAGCCGCGGUAAUACAGAGGGUUCGAGCGUUAAUCGGAUUUACUGGGCGUAAAGCGUGCGUAGGCGGCUAAUUGAGUCGGAUGUGAAAUCCCCGAGCUUAACUUGGGAAUUGCAUUCGAUACUGGUUAGCUAGAGUGUGGGAGAGGAUGGUAGAAUUCCAGGUGUAGCGGUGAAAUGCGUAGAGAUCUGGAGGAAUACCGAUGGCGAAGGCAGCCAUCUGGCCUAACACUGACGCUGAGGUACGAAAGCAUGGGGAGCAAACAGGAUUAGAUACCCCAGUAGUCCCUGUCUCUUAUAC